This is a long non-coding RNA of Hermetia illucens (black soldier fly), 264 nucleotides long. RefSeq lists it as uncharacterized. The transcript is spliced from 2 exons. Lineage: Eukaryota; Metazoa; Arthropoda; Insecta; Diptera; Stratiomyidae. The record is from RefSeq and is a predicted model, not a curated record.
AUUCUAUAAAAGAAAGUAUAACACUCACUGCACAAUUAGAAUUUGUCGUUGUUUAGCUUCAGAGGUGGUCACGUAUGUAUCGUAUCUAAUUUGCGGAAUUUCAUCAUGCCCGGUUGGUCCCUGAAUCAAAUAAUUGCCUACUUCAUGGGUGAUCCAGAUUUUGAAAGCUACGGAGGAGAAAUAUUUGGUUCCAAUUAAUAAAAUAGAAGCCUUAUGGAUUUAAUAAUGGAAAUUUAAUAAAACCUUUUCAAAAUAUUGAGGAAG